RNAcentral lists this ribosomal RNA (395 nucleotides) under Antarctobacter albus. RNAcentral's name for it is "bacterial SSU rRNA". It matches the Rfam family "Bacterial small subunit ribosomal RNA", at positions 384 to 796 of the family's 1533-position model. The record is from RNAcentral. Lineage: Bacteria; Pseudomonadati; Pseudomonadota; Alphaproteobacteria; Rhodobacterales; Roseobacteraceae.
UGAUCUAGCCAUGCCGCGUGAGUGAUGAAGGCCCUAGGGUCGUAAAGCUCUUUCGCCAGGGAUGAUAAUGACAGUACCUGGUAAAGAAACCCCGGCUAACUCCGUGCCAGCAGCCGCGGUAAUACGGAGGGGGUUAGCGUUGUUCGGAAUUACUGGGCGUAAAGCGCGCGUAGGCGGAUCAGAAAGUUGGGGGUGAAAUCCCGGGGCUCAACCCCGGAACUGCCUCCAAAACUCCUGGUCUUGAGUUCGAGAGAGGUGAGUGGAAUUCCGAGUGUAGAGGUGAAAUUCGUAGAUAUUCGGAGGAACACCAGUGGCGAAGGCGGCUCACUGGCUCGAUACUGACGCUGAGGUGCGAAAGUGUGGGGAGCAAACAGGAUUAGAUACCCCGGUAGUCA